Molecule: long non-coding RNA, 533 nt
Filed under: Amborella trichopoda
Lineage: Eukaryota; Viridiplantae; Streptophyta; Magnoliopsida; Amborellales; Amborellaceae
Description: long non-coding RNA (ATRI_LNC005344)
Source: RNAcentral
UGAAGCAUGCAUGGAUGGAUGAUUAGCAGACUUAGGCUAAGGGGGGGAAGCUGUGGCCUUUCUAUUAUUGGGCAUGGUGGCCUUAAAGAUAUGAUGAGUGAAAAAGAUGCCGGCAGAUCCGAGGGAAGCUAAGCUAGAUGAUGGGAAGCUCCAAGUAAGAAGUCCUUUGAUUCCGACGGUCAUUCGAAAUGUAUUAUGUGAUGAACUGUAGUUUUCGUGCCUAUAAUUAUAUUAGAUGGAUGGAAUGCAAAAACAGAUUCCCAUCUUUGCAAGGUAAAAGGAUUCUCCUAAAGAAAGGAAUCAUUGGCUUAGUUUCAAAUGCACCGCUGAAUGUUGAUGAGCUAUGUGGAUCAGCUCUUAAGAUGAAUAUCAGUUGUUAAGUGGGCUGGAUGAGUAUUCGCAUAUCUUUAAUGGUCUUUUGAACCCUCUGUAGGAUAGUGGUGGGUAGGCACAACGAGUCUUUUUCAUAUAAUGCUCUUGCUUUUUUCCUUGGAAGUGCUCUCCAUAGAAAGUUCCUUAUGCUUGUCUCUUGU